CCUACGGGUGGCUGCAGUAGGGAAUAUUGCAAAAUGGGCGCAAGCCCGAUGCAGCAACGCCGCGUGGACGAUGAAGGCCUUCGGGUCGUAAAGUCCUUUUUGAGGGGAAGAGGAAGGACGGUACCCUCAGAAUAAGCCUCGGCUAACUACGUGCCAGCAGCCGCGGUAAAACGUAGGAGGCGAGCGUUCUCCGGAUUUACUGGGCGUAAAGCGCGUGCAGGCGGAUUGGAGAGUUGGAUGUAAAAGCUCCCGGCGUAACUGGGAGAGGUCGUUCAAUACUUCCAGUCUUGAGUACAGUAGAGGGAAGUGGAAUUCCGGGUGUAGUGGUGAAAUGCGUAGAGAUCCGGAGGAACACCAGUGGCGAAAGCGGCUUCCUGGACUGAAACUGACGCUCAGACGCGAAAGCUAGGGUAGCAAACGGGAUUAGAUACCCUUGUAGUC
This 441-nucleotide ribosomal RNA is filed under the name uncultured bacterium. RNAcentral's name for it is "partial 16S ribosomal RNA". It matches the Rfam family "Bacterial small subunit ribosomal RNA", at positions 338 to 795 of the family's 1533-position model. The record is from RNAcentral.